Molecule: unclassified non-coding RNA, 200 nt
Filed under: soil metagenome
Description: partial contains internal transcribed spacer 2 and large subunit ribosomal RNA
Source: RNAcentral
GCCUGUUCGAGCGUCAUUUAAACCAUCAAGCCUAGCUUGGUCUUGGACGUGGUUGAGUGACCCGUCCGUAACCCGUUGGCGGUACAGUCCGGCUUCAAGCGUAGCAAAAAUCUCGCUUUAGGAGUCCGCGGCGGUACCCGCCAGGCAACAACAUUCCAAAGUUUGACCUCGGAUCAGGUGAGGAUACCCGCUGAACUUAA